AUGUCUUCAUUUAGGCAAAGUCGUGGAGUUCAGUACCACGAUACACUUGUAAAUUGCGGGAAAGUCUCGUUUUAGGCAAUACAUACCGCGGCCCGCCGAGAGGUGAGAUCCAGGAAUGAGUCAGGGUGCAGCAGUGAGCGUAACGGCUCAUGGAUGGUAAAAACUGUAUUGAUAGAGAUAAUCUGCAUCGAAGCGCGACUUUUUAUAAAAGAAAAGAGGCGAACGUUCAGAGACUAUAAUCGAGUGGGCGCAAGCUUAAGGGAUAGUCCAAUCCACGGGGAGACCCGGUC
Bathycoccus prasinos is the source of this 290-nucleotide intron RNA. It matches the Rfam family "Group I catalytic intron". Rfam says of the family: Group I catalytic introns are large self-splicing ribozymes. They catalyse their own excision from mRNA, tRNA and rRNA precursors in a wide range of organisms. The record is from Rfam. NCBI's taxonomy places the organism in Eukaryota, Viridiplantae, Chlorophyta, Mamiellophyceae, Mamiellales, Bathycoccaceae.